CUUUUUCAAAAUAAUGAUCCAACUGUAUCUUGUUUGAUUAUCUUUUCUUGUGAUGUUGUUUAGUCUUUACUGUGUAGUCGUGUUAAUUGAUCAUGUCUCGAUCAUACCCAACUGUUUUUGUGGAUGCCCAGCUUCUUAAUUGCUGUCUUUACUCUGUACCCUCUUUCAAUUUUCCUUGAUUACACUAAUGUUUGUGACUUUAUGUUCCUUGUGAUUUCUUGUUGGGUGUCUGGUGUUAAAUUUUGAUGGCUGAAAUUGGACCUCGGCUGUACUGCUGCUACAAGUGUAAAAAUCAUGUUUCGCUGCACGAUGACAUUAUUUCAAAGACAUUUCAGGGAAGAGAUGGGCGAGCCUUUUUGUUCUCUCAUGCAAUGAACAUCUCUGUUGGGCGUAGAGAAGACAGAAACCUUAUGACUGGUCUUCACACUGUUGCGGAUGUCAACUGUGGCGAUUGCGGAGAAUUGUUGGGGUGGAAGUAUGAACGAGCAUAUGAGCCAUCACAAAAAUACAAGGAAGGGAAGUUCAUACUCGAGAAAUCAAAGAUUGUGAAGGACAACUGGACGAAUCAUCCGCCUCUUCAUCGCUGGUGGUCGGGGAAACGGUAAAAUCACUGAAGAAGCAAAAAGCAUAUGAAGAACUAACGCUCCUCUGUGCUCUCUUCUCAAAUUCCAAUGUACACAUCAUCUGCAAGGAGUUGGAAGAAUGCAAUGGCAUCAAAGAGGUUAUAUAACUCGUAAGAGACAAGCAUUCAAGCAAGUAGACGAGAACUUUUAGGAAACAUUUUGUACGUUUCAGACUUUCAGAUGAGUUAGAUAGUUGUAAUACAUGCAUACAUUUGUGAUCAAGCCCCUUGAUUCGGCGACAAGAGUUGGUUAUGGAAUAAUCUUUUGGUCGGCUUUCUCGUUCUUUAGCAGUUUCCGGCCGGUGGGGCCCAUCUCAUUGCUCUAGCCAGGAGCUCCAACUUGCAACCGCAGGAGGGCGCCCUGUGAGGCGAGAGUGGGCUCAGCGGUCAGCCUCCACUAAAAUUAUGUUAGGGGCUUUCCACUUUUGCCAGAUCUAGAGAGAUACAAGUCCUCUAUAAGCAUGUUUCUAGAAAGGCCACUAUCGUGAAUGAAGCAAGCAUGAUUCUAGAAAGGCCACCAUCUUGAUUGAAGGAUCUCCCGCAUCUGGAUACAAACCCGGGGCCAAUGAUGAAGGGGCUAGUGGCGUACAAGUACCUUUCUAGUAAGCAGAACAUGCCGAUAGAGCACUGUGAAGGACAGUUAGAGUUACUGCUGCUGUUUACCUGGACUUCCUAUCCUAAUUGCUUUCUUUAUAUAAAGUAUUAUAUCUCCUUGCGGUUCGUAUUGUCUUUUAUCUGUUGUUUCCCAGACUUGGCUGGGAGCGUCCAGUAGGGAUGUGUUCAAAUGUAGACCUCCGCAAUACCACGUCCACCACGAGCACAAAAAGUAAUGAGUUGGGAUAACAGGGAAUUUAUCCUCUGCUACAAGAUAGCUCCAAGCCUCCAAUCCUCUUUUUCCUGUGUUCUUGUACAUCUGAUUAGUUCAACUAGGUUUGCUUUUACCUGUCUAAGCAUAUAAACUUACUAAAACAGCAAACUUUCCUAUGCGUCUGGUUCUGUUAAUUUGAACCUUUCUGAUAAUACAGCUAUAUAAACUACUCUGUCCUGGAUAA
This is an RNA transcript of Daucus carota subsp. sativus, 1674 nucleotides long. It is a transcript of the gene named protein yippee-like At4g27745, with no coding region annotated. NCBI's taxonomy places the organism in Eukaryota, Viridiplantae, Streptophyta, Magnoliopsida, Apiales, Apiaceae. The transcript has 6 exons. The record is from RefSeq and is a predicted model, not a curated record.